RNAcentral lists this ribosomal RNA (450 nucleotides) under uncultured bacterium. RNAcentral's name for it is "bacterial SSU rRNA". It matches the Rfam family "Bacterial small subunit ribosomal RNA", at positions 354 to 796 of the family's 1533-position model. The record is from RNAcentral.
GUUAGGAAUAUUCGUCAAUGGGGGAAACCCUGAACGAGCAAUGCCGCGUGAGUGAUGACGGUCCUUUGGAUUGUAAAACUCUGUUGUUAAGGAAAAACGAUAAGAUUAGGAAAUGAUUCUUAUUUGAUGGUACUUUUCAAGAAAGCCACGGCUAACUACGUGCCAGCAGCCGCGGUAAUACGUAGGUGGCGAGCGUUAUCCGGAUUUAUUGGGCGUAAAGCGUGCGCAGACGGUUUAUUAAGUUUGAAAUCAAAGCCCGGAGCUUAACUCCGGUUAGUUUCAAAAACUGGUAGGCUUGAGUGUGGUAGAGGCAAACGGAAUUUCUAGUGUAGCGGUAAAAUGCGUAGAUAUUAGAAGGAACACCAGUGGCGAAGGCGGUUUGCUGGGCCAUUACUGACGUUCAUGCACGAAAGCGUGGGGAGCAAAUAGGAUUAGAAACCCUAGUAGUCC